This 501-nucleotide ribosomal RNA is filed under the name uncultured bacterium. RNAcentral describes it as "partial 16S ribosomal RNA". It matches the Rfam family "Bacterial small subunit ribosomal RNA", at positions 30 to 523 of the family's 1533-position model. The record is from RNAcentral.
AUUGAACGCUGGCGGCAGGCUUAACACAUGCAAGUCGAGCGGGGUGAUGGUGCUUGCACUAUCACUUAGCGGCGGACGGGUGAGUAAUGCUUAGGAAUCUGCCUAUUAGUGGGGGACAACAUCUCGAAAGGGAUGCUAAUACCGCAUACGUCCUACGGGAGAAAGCAGGGGAUCACUUGUGACCUUGCGCUAAUAGAUGAGCCUAAGUCGGAUUAGCUAGUUGGUGGGGUAAAGGCCUACCAAGGCGACGAUCUGUAGCGGGUCUGAGAGGAUGAGCCGGCACCCUGGGACUGAGACACGGCCCAGACUCCUACGGGAGGCAGCAGUGGGGAAUAUUGGACAAUGGGGGGAACCCUGAUCCAGCCAUGCCGCGUGUGAAGAAGGCCUUAUGGUUGUAAAGCACUUUAAGCGAGGAGGAGGCUCUUUUGGUUAAUACCCAAGAUGAGUGGACGUUACUCGCAGAAUAAGCACCGGCUAACUCUGUGCCAGCCGCCGCCGUAA